GAUAACGCUGGCGGCGUGCCUAACACAUGCAAGUCGAACGUCCUCUCUCGCAAGAGAGAGGGAGUGGCGGACGGGUGAGUAACACAUGGGUCACCUACCCUUAAGUGAGGAAUACCGGCGAGAAAUCGCCGACAAGACCGCAUAGGCUCUCUCUUUUGCAAGAGAGAGCAAAGCUUCGCAAGAGGCGCUUGAGGAUGGGCCUGUGGCCGAUUAGCUGGUUGGAGGGUAAUGGCUUACCAAGGCGACGAUCGGUAGCUGGUCUGAGAGGACGAUCAGCCACACUGGGAUUGAGAACGG
This 297-nucleotide ribosomal RNA is filed under the name uncultured bacterium. Its description in RNAcentral is "partial 16S ribosomal RNA". It matches the Rfam family "Bacterial small subunit ribosomal RNA", at positions 32 to 329 of the family's 1533-position model. The record is from RNAcentral.